RNAcentral lists this ribosomal RNA (516 nucleotides) under uncultured Pseudomonadota bacterium. RNAcentral describes it as "bacterial SSU rRNA". It matches the Rfam family "Bacterial small subunit ribosomal RNA", at positions 355 to 861 of the family's 1533-position model. Lineage: Bacteria; Pseudomonadati; Pseudomonadota. The record is from RNAcentral.
UCGGGAAUUUUGGGCAAUGGGCGAAAGCCUGACCCAGCAACGCCGCGUGAGGGAUGAAGGCCUUCGGGUCGUAAACCUCUGUCGGGAGGGACGAAAGGUAAACGGGUGAACAAUCCGAGUGCUUGACGGUACCUCCAAAGGAAGCGCCGGCUAACUCCGUGCCAGCAGCCGCGGUAAUACGGAGGGCGCAAGCGUUGUUCGGAAUCACUGGGCGUAAAGCGCGUGCAGGCGGCUUGGUAAGUCGGGUGUGAAAUCCCGGAGCUCAACUCCGGAACUGCACCCGAUACUGCCUCGCUAGAGUCCCGGAGAGGAUGGCGGAAUUUCCGGUGUAGAGGUGAAAUUCGUAGAUAUCGGAAGGAACACCAGCGGCGAAGGCGGCCAUCUGGACGGUGACUGACGCUCAGACGCGAAAGCGUGGGGAGCAAACAGGAUUAGAUACCCUGGUAGUCCACGCUGUAAACGUUGGGUGCUAGGCGUCGUGGGUAUUGACCCCCGCGGUGCCGAAGCUAACGCAUU